Molecule: ribosomal RNA, 618 nt
Filed under: Triticum aestivum (bread wheat)
Lineage: Eukaryota; Viridiplantae; Streptophyta; Magnoliopsida; Poales; Poaceae
Description: partial small subunit ribosomal RNA
Source: RNAcentral
AUGUUGGAUGACGGCGAGUGGUUCGAGUGUGAAUGCGGGCAAUUCACCCACAUGGGGAUGCUUUGUUGCCAUACUUUGAAGGUGAUGGACUAUGUUGGCAUGAAGGAGAUGCGGAAGCGGCACAUCCUCAAGAGAUGGACGAAAUAUGCUAGGGACAUCCUGCCCCAGCAUCUUGCUCACUUCAAAAGAAACCAGGUCGUGAACAAAUCUUUCACCUGCCGCAGCUCGACUCUCUACCUACACGCCAUGGAGCUGGUUAGGCUUGGGGAUGCAUCCGUCACGACAUAUGAACUCGUGUUGGUUCGCUUGAAGGAUAUGAUUGCGGAGGUAUCACCACUAGCUGAAACAAGAGAUGGGAUAGGGUUUGAGGAUAGACAAGCAGCAGAAGCGAAUCACAACAACAUUGCAUUGGCAGGCGCAAUUGUCAGCAUUAGAGGGGGGGGGGGGGCUGACAACAAGAACAAUCUGACCCUUCCUGCUAACUGGGAUGCACAUGCUGGACUGUCUGCUCCGAGCAAGAAAUGUGGUGCCAGGCGACCAUGCAUCAGUAGGAAGAAGGCACCGUAUGAAGGACUACGUACAAUGACAAAGUUCUGCAGCAUUUGCAAAUUGCCAUGA